Molecule: transfer RNA, 66 nt
Filed under: Leptaulax koreanus
Lineage: Eukaryota; Metazoa; Arthropoda; Insecta; Coleoptera; Passalidae
Description: tRNA-Val
Source: RNAcentral
UUAAAUUAAAGCUUUUUUAGUUUCUUAUUUACAUUAAGAAGAUAGUAUUAUUAUACUUAAUUUAAU